Molecule: ribosomal RNA, 278 nt
Filed under: uncultured Parvimonas sp.
Lineage: Bacteria; Bacillati; Bacillota; Tissierellia; Tissierellales; Peptoniphilaceae
Description: partial 16S ribosomal RNA
Rfam family: Bacterial small subunit ribosomal RNA
Source: RNAcentral
AAGUGAUAUUUAACGAAAGUGGCGAACGGGUGAGUAACACGUGAGCAACCUGCCUUACACAGGGGAUAGCCAUUGGAAACGGUGAUUAAUACCCCAUAAGACCACAAUACCGCAUGGUAAAAGGGUAAAAGGGAUACCGGUGUAAGAUGGGCUCGCGUCUGAUUAGCUAGUUGGUGGGGUAAAGGCCUACCAAGGCGACGAUCAGUAGCCGGUCUGAGAGGAUGAACGGCCACAUUGGAACUGAAACACGGUCCAAACUCCUACGGGAGGCAGCAGCC